CCGCGGAAGCUUUAUUGCUGGCAAAAGUGUCCAUAACCAGAGCUGUUUUGGUGAACCCCUCUCGCAUCUGAACUGACUGACACAGAGGGUAAAGCAUCAUCAGAGGUAUGUUUUGAUGUGAGAGAGGAAGCAAGUCCCAUCACCGCC
This is a long non-coding RNA of Salvelinus sp. IW2-2015, 147 nucleotides long. RefSeq lists it as uncharacterized. Lineage: Eukaryota; Metazoa; Chordata; Actinopteri; Salmoniformes; Salmonidae. The record is from RefSeq and is a predicted model, not a curated record.